CAAAUAUCUGGAACACAGAAGAGCUUAUUACAUGUUGUGUGGAUGGAUUAAGCUUGCUAAGCUAUUUGGAAACAGGAAGAAAAAGCAUGCCCAGAAUUUGGAGACCACCCAUGGAAAGGCAUGACCUCCACUGGGUGUUCAGGACUUGAGGUGACAAUGUUUAAAGCAAGACAAACAACUAAAGAAAACCAAAAUAAUGUGGUUUACAUGCUAGGAGAAGAACAGUCUUGUAGCCAACAUAAAUGAGCUCUCAUGGAAACCUCUGCCCGCCAAGAACACUUAACCUCCACGAAUGACAUCUGUGCCACAAGGGUGGAGCUCGAAGUCCCAGUCUGCCUCUGGCUGGAGCCCUCAAGAAGGUAGAGACCUGCUUAAACCUCCAAAAGUCAAUUUUCUACACCAGCAGCAUACAGGGGAAAGAAAGUAGAACAAAUUAAAGAGAAAACAAAUCAAAGGAUGAAGGGGAAGAGGAAAUCCCUCUCAUAUGGAGCAGACAUGGAGGCAAAGUUGA
RNAcentral lists this long non-coding RNA (511 nucleotides) under Homo sapiens (human). Its description in RNAcentral is "HSALNT0365736". Lineage: Eukaryota; Metazoa; Chordata; Mammalia; Primates; Hominidae. The record is from RNAcentral.